GACGAACGCUGGCGGCGCGCCUAACACAUGCAAGUCGAACGGAGCUGAGAGAAGCUUGCUUUUCUUAGCUUAGUGGCGAACGGGUGAGUAACGCGUGAGUAACCUGCCCUGGAGUGGGGGACAACAGUUGGAAACGACUGCUAAUACCGCAUAAGCCCACGAUCCGGCAUCGGCUUGAGGGAAAAGGAUUUAUUCGCUUCAGGAUGGACUCGCGUCCAAUUAGCUAGUUGGUGAGGUAACGGCCCACCAAGGCGACGAUUGGUAGCCGGACUGAGAGGUUGGGCGGCCACAUUGGGACUGAGACACGGCCCGGACUCCUACGGGAGGCAGCAGUGGGGGAUAUUGCACAGUGGGGGAAACGCUGAUGCAGCGACGCCGCGUGGAGGAAGAAGGUUUUCAGAUUGUAAACUCCUGUCGUGAGGGACGAUAAUGACGGUACCUAACAAGAAAGCACCGGCUAACUACGUG
This 468-nucleotide ribosomal RNA is filed under the name uncultured bacterium. RNAcentral's name for it is "partial 16S ribosomal RNA". It matches the Rfam family "Bacterial small subunit ribosomal RNA", at positions 28 to 507 of the family's 1533-position model. The record is from RNAcentral.